Molecule: ribosomal RNA, 585 nt
Filed under: uncultured soil bacterium
Lineage: Bacteria
Description: bacterial SSU rRNA
Rfam family: Bacterial small subunit ribosomal RNA
Source: RNAcentral
AUGCAAGUCGAGCGGAAAGGCCCCUUCGGGGGUACUCGAGCGGCGAACGGGUGAGUAACACGUGGGUAAUCUGCCCAGGACACAGGAAUAACCAGUGGAAACGCUGGCUAAUGCCUGAUGAAGUGCAGACCUCUAGGGGUUCUGUACCAAAGGUAGCUUCGGCCUCCGGUCCUGGAUGAGCCCGCGGCCCAUUAGCUUGUUGGCGGGGUAACGGCCCACCAAGGCGACGAUGGGUAGCUGGUCUGAGAGGACGAUCAGCCACACUGGGACUGAGACACGGCCCAGACUCCUACGGGAGGCAGCAGUGGGGAAUCUUGCGCAAUGGGCGAAAGCCUGACGCAGCAACGCCGCGUGCGGGAAGAAGGCCUUCGGGUUGUAAACCGCUUUCAGCGGGGAAGAAGGCGAGCGGGUUAAUAGCCCGUCAGCUGACGGUACCCGCAGAAGAAGGUCCGGCUAACUACGUGCCAGCAGCCGCGGUAAUACGUAGGGACCGAGCGUUGUCCGGAAUCAUUGGGCGUAAAGAGCGUGUAGGCGGCCACUUAAGUCUUGCGUGAAAUCUUGCGGCUCAACCGCAAGCGGUCGUGG